AGCUGACACUGGGCUGAAGCCUCUACAAACUGAGCUGAAAUCAAUCUUUCCUCCUUUAACUUGAAUUCCUCACAUUGAAACUAAUUGCAGUUUCCAGUUGACCAGCAUUCAUAGGAACCAUUACCCCUCUACAGUUUUGAAUAGGAAAUUGCCAAAAGGUAGAUACACAUCUCUGUUCUUCUUUGGUUUUCUCUGUAUUAUUUGACAACGAUGUCAGGUUCUUUCCUUGAAACUCUUAAUUUGUGAGUACCAUAAAUGCAUGCCUGAAAUCCUAGCUAUUCAGGAGGCUGAGGUAGGAGAAUCACAAGUUCAAGGCUAGCCAGGGCAAGUUAGUGAGAUGCUGUCUAACAUAAAAAGAGCUGAAGGUAUAGCUCAUCACUUCCUCGUUCAAUCCCUGAUAUUGAGGAAAAUGUUUUAAAAAUAAAAAUUAAAAGCUUCUCCUUUAUCUCAGUGACACUGCUUCUCUAUCCUCUUUUACACUUUCUAAUGAUCCUUCCUCAUCUGGACAGAGAUUCUAUCCUUCACUAGUGCCAGCUGGUGACUGAGGUGCUUCAGAUCUUCUGGCCACCCCAGCAACCCAGCCCUUACCAUAUGACACAUGACUGCCACAGAACAAUGAGAAAUAAUGUAUUGUUACUUUAGCCAAUAAGAUUUGAUGUGGUUUGUUACGUAGAAUAAGAAACCAAACACCAAAAUUGUACCUAGAAGUGAGGUGCUGCCAUAACAAAAUAUGUGGCAUUAGUUUUGGAGUGGGUGGUAGAGAAGGCCUUAAGUGGAGUAAGAAUACUAUUAAUGGUGACUGAAGGUCAGUGAGGAAAUUGCCACUGGAGAUGUAAAAUGGUACCCUUGUUUUAAUAUUGACAAAAAAAUUAGCAAAAGCAUCACAUGAUAACAUGUGACAUAGAAAGUUAUUGUAACAACAUGCAGGAAACACACAUGUAACAGAACUGUGUUAUGUACAUGGAUAAAACAGAAACAUGUAGAAUAGAAAAACUAAUGAACUUGUGGAUCUAAGAUUUUUCAACAGAAUAUUGGAAGCAGCAACUGGUUCCCUUUUUAAGCCCUCUAUGACCAUAGUAUAAUAAGUGGUGGAUUAAGAAGAAACUGCUCAGAUUUUACUAAAUUUUAGAGGAAAUAUUUCUAAUCCUGAAUUUGCUAGGGUUGUAAAUAGAACUAUUUCUCAUCUCCAGCUUUUCCACACUACAAAAAGUACUCAAAGAAAGAAAUGGUCUCAUGUCCAAAGAUCAGAUCCAGAGCACUACUGCCAAUACAACGUGACCUCAAAGUAAAAAUAAAAAGCAAAGGCACAGCUGUCACACCCUGUAUUAAAACUUCAAAAAAUUUAAGGCUGUUCCUCCUGGGUCCUCUCAGCUAGAUGGAAGAAAGGGCCAUUAAGACUUAAGAAUGCCGGCCGAGGAUUUAGCUCAGUGGUGCCGCUGCCUGCCCCCGCAAGCGCAAGGACCUGAGCUUGAUGCCCGGUACCAAAAAAAGAUUUAAGAAUCUCAGGGGCAUUGUCCUCUCCUGGACUUAAUUUAGAUGGCACAGUCCUGGACUUUGGACCUGAAUUGGGUGCCCUGGUGGAGUGCAACUUUUGGGAGAGGGUUAGUAGGCUUUGUAUGCAGGAGGAAAAUAAAUCAUCUAUGGCCAGAGGGUAGGCUGUGGUAGAAUAAAAAUGGCUGCAAGUUCUUUGCCAUUCUUGGCACUGAAAGGUACAGCCUGCUGCUUUUCCUGUAGAAUCUGGCCUGGCCUUGUGACUCUUGAUUAAAAGAUUUUGUAAAAUAUAGCUCUUUGUGGCUUCAAAUGCUACGACUUGAAAGAUCUGUGGCUUUGACGUAUGGGUGUGUAAUGGACUUAGAACCCACCAUGCUCUUUGAAGACACACAAAGUACCACGUGGAAUCUUAUAUGAAGACGUUAUCAGCCAGCUCCCGGUGACUACCAUUAUGAUGAAUGAGUCCAUUUUGGUCCUUCCAGUCAUCAUUCUGCUAGCCAGUACUGUGAAGUAGAAGACCUCUCACAGAAACUUGAGAAAUAAAACCUUAAUUUUUUAAAAGCCAUCAGCGUUUGGAGCAUGCAAUCCUUCCUUACAUGAUGCUGAGUUCUAGCCACAUGGCUCCCAAGACCAGUUCAAAGCCUCUGUCACCUUGAAUAACUUUAUGCUUUAUUUAGCAUAAACAAGUGGGGAAAAUUAAUCAGAAAUACUCAUAUGUUGUUUCCUAGAGAGAGAUCUCAAAAAGAUAAAUUUAAAUUUGUUAGAUGUAGGCGAGACCCAAGAAACAUAUUGAUAGGAAGUAGCACGAAACAUUUUUGAGGAAUAUAAGAUGAUUUUGAAAUCAGUUUUUAGGAGAGUAGUGUAGAGAACUCCCACUUUCAGUGCCUGGAAUCAGAGACAGAUCUUUGAAGUAGCAUCCAGCUCUCAUCAUAUAAUGACUCUAAAUACCAUCUGAUCAUCAUUUGUUUAUUUUUUUCACUGGUUAUUUUGGAAAUGCUUUCAAAGUAAAAUAAGGACUACUGGGAAAUAAAAAUGCCUAACUUGAGUAUUGUUAUUUCAGUCUCAGAGAUUUUGUGAUGAGAUUGUCGGAUGAGUUCAUGUGCUUUAAAAAGCUUUUAUGACUUUUUAGUGAUAUUUAAAAGUUAAAGGAAUGAAAUUAGGACCAUAAAAUUCAUUUACUCUUAACAUUGUUUCUUUGAACUGAUUUACUGCAUUUGUAUAUUAGAAAUAGGGAUCUUAAAAAAAAGAAAAGAAAAGAAAAGAAAUAGGGAUCUUAUUUGGAUUGAAUCCACAUUAUUUGGUAAAAUAUGGUCUGGAAAAUGUUUGGGGUACACACAAACAGUAUUAAAGGGCAUAAUGGCUCUAACUCUGGUUAAGCUCUUCAAUUAGAAAAAUUAUC
This is a long non-coding RNA of Heterocephalus glaber (naked mole-rat), 2890 nucleotides long. NCBI's taxonomy places the organism in Eukaryota, Metazoa, Chordata, Mammalia, Rodentia, Bathyergidae. The record is from Ensembl.